UACGUAGGGUGCGAGCGUUGUCCGGAAUUAUUGGGCGUAAAGAGCUCGUAGGCGGCUUGUUGCGUCGGAUGUGAAAGCUCGGGGCUUAACUCCGGGUCGGCAUUCGAUACGGGCAGGCUAGAGUGUGGUAGGGGAGAUCGGAAUUCCUGGUGUAGCGGUGAAAUGCGCAGAUAUCAGGAGGAACACCGGUGGCGAAGGCGGAUCUCUGGGCCAAUUACUGACGCUGAGGAGCGAAAGCGUGGGGAGCGAACAGG
This 254-nucleotide ribosomal RNA is filed under the name uncultured bacterium. RNAcentral describes it as "partial 16S ribosomal RNA". It matches the Rfam family "Bacterial small subunit ribosomal RNA", at positions 524 to 776 of the family's 1533-position model. The record is from RNAcentral.